AGUACACAGGAAGUCGGCCAGAGAAACAUUUCUCAUAUUUGAAGGCCGGAAAGAGGGACAUUUCUGACACCGGAAGUCAGUGAGAGGACUCUUUCCCACACAGGAAGUCAGCUAGAGAGCCGUCUCCCCUCUCUGGAGCCGAGAGAGGCCGGUUUCCCCCACCGUAGCCCACCUGGGAGGAAUUUUCCAGAGAUCACUGUCUGAUGACCCUGUCUUGGAAUUGGAGCCAUGCAAGUUACACUGACCACGUUUGGGUUGGGAUAUUGAGGAGGUUAUGGUUAAAAGCAUACGAUGGGAGAUCAUAUUGUACUUGCGAGUGAGACCCGGCUGGAGGAAUGUUUUAAUUCUUCGGAAAUACCAAGUGGUCUCUAGAUGGGUUUUCACUAUUUUUCCCAGGCUAGUCUCCAACUUCUGGGCUCAAGCGAUCCACCCGCCUUGGCCUCCUAAGUCCUAGGAUUAUAGGUAUGAGCCACUGCGCCUGGCCUUUUUGCCUUUUGAAAGUAUCUGUUGUUAACAAUAUUCAAUUGGGUUGAAUCUUGCUAGGGACCAAGGUGAAUUUGCAUAAAUUAGUCUAUGCCAAUUUGCAUACUAUCAGCAAAUUUGUAGUGUACAGAAUUUUGGAAAUAGAAGGAAGCUAAGAGGGGUGUCAAAUGCAGCUUCUUCUUUUUUUACCUGAAAAGAUACCAAAGUCCAGCUCAGGGAAGGUCACACAGCUAAUUCUUAUCAUGGGGAGACAGACCCAGGGACAUCAUGGUGCCUCCGAGAUUAGUACGGCCCCUCAAACAUCCCCAUUUUCUGUCCCUAGCCCAUUGGAACCCCUUAAAGUUGGUCCCUCGAGCUCGGGUGAUAGCACACAUGAUGGAAAGUAGGCAGGCUUGCCAUUGAAGCUCCAACCUAGCUCUGCACCACAUCAGCUGUGUGACCUUGAGCAAAUCACUUAACCACUCUGAGCAUGGCAUUUGUAAAUGUCAAGGUAGCAACGCCCUCUUUACUGCCCUGUUGUGACAAAUAAGAUAUAUUCCAUAAAUAUGAUCCAUGUAGUAUUAAACUACCAUUUACUGAGUCUCCCCUAUGGAAAGCACUUAGUAGGUGCUCAAAAACUCCUAGUCCUUUCUUCCCCUCUUUCAAUGUGUCACUGCAUCUGGGUAAUUUAUACCCAUUUCCUGUUUUCCUUUGAGAAGUGCAUGUCAUGCUCUGCACAAAAGUGACUCUUAAUGGUGGCAUUUCAAGCAUCAUGGCAGAGUGCUGAGACGCUGAUGAAGAUAUUUUAGGCUGGGGUGCAUGGGGAGCACUCUCAGGGCCUCUCAUGCGCAUCCUGAGCCCUUCCUGUGAACCAGACUGACCCUGGCUUCUGUGCCAUUUUCAUUCCAGCCAAGAAUGUUCUGAAAUGAAGCCAAUAUCUGAAGGAUCUAGGAUGCCUGUUCCCCUCUCUUAUGCUGUCUCGGGGGAUGAUUUAGCCACCAAGAAUUUUCCUUAUGGUUGCAAGAUGAUUAAAAAAAACCACACACUCAGAUGCUUUUCGGAGGUUGACAUUUUUCACAGCCCCUCUUCCUCCUCCAUAGAUUUCCUGGAGGUUCCAUCCAGCUCUGGCUCUAGCUGGCUCCUUGACUCUGGACAAGUCACUUCAUCUCUCCAAGCCUUGUCUAUAAAGUAGGGAUAAUACUCCUUCCCACUUCAGAGAGUCAUUCGGGGAUUAAACUGUGACAUGUAUGUAGCCAAGGGUCCAGCACACACUGACAACUCACCAAAUAUUAGCCAUCACUCCAAACUAAGAAGGCAGGAUUCCGGCUGGGCACGGUGGCUCACGCCUGUAAUCCCAGCACUUUGGAAGGCUGACGCAGGUGGAUCAUGAGGUCAAGAGAUUGAGACCAUCCUGGCCAACAUGGUGAAACCCCGUCUCUACUAAAAAUACAAAAAUUAGCUGGGCGUGGUGGUGCGUGCCUGUAGUCCCAGUUACAGGCUGGGAGGCUGAGGCAGGAGAAUCACUUGAACCUGGGAGGCGGAGGUUUCAGUGAGCCAAGAUUGUGCCAUUGCACUCCAGCCUGGCGACAGAGUGAGACAGAGUGAGACUCCGUUAAAAAAAUAAUAAUAAUAAAUAAGAAAAGAAGGCAAGAUUCCAUUAACUUCCAGAAGGUAGACUGUCUUAAAUAUUGGGCAAUUCCCUUUCCUCCUCUCGGCCUCAGCUUUCCCAUCUGAAAAAUGGGAGUAGGACAAGGGAACUGGAUCGCAGGCAUUGACAUAACUUUCUGUGGUUAUUAAAUAGGGCCCCACAAAGACAGUGUCGGGGACCAAGGAGCUCAGGCCGCCUGCCCCACCUUUGCCACCUGCAAGACUGUAUACUCCAGCCAGUAAGGACCUCACUGUUCUCACUCACUAGUGUGUCCUCAGUCCCAGCCCAGGGACUCUGGCUAGGGGCUGACACUUAAUAAAUCCAUGUGAAUGGAUGCAGGAACUCUGCUCCGAUCUGUUCUAUCUGCUUAGUUUUUGCAUACAAUUUUGUUUGAACAAAGAACCACGUGGUUUAUCUAUCAGUCAGGGCUCAGCAGGAAACACAUGGCACAUAUAUAAUUGGGAUAAUUUGAGGAGAGUUUAGUAAAGGAAUUGUUUACAAAGGUGUGGGCAGGGUGUAGGGAACCCACACAGGAGGGUAUAACUGGGGUCUAGUGUCAGCGGGCGCCAUCAUCAUUCCUAGGCCAGAUGAGGGAAGGUUAAGAGUUAAUGGCCGGGCGCAGUGGCUCAAGCCUGUAAUCCCAGCACUUUGGGAGGUCGAGGAGGGCGGAUCACAAAGUCAGGAGAUCGAGACCAUCCUGGCUAACAUGGUGAAACCCCGUCUCUACCAAAAAUACAAAAAAUUAGCCGGGCAUGGUGGCGGGCGCCUGUAGUCCCAGCUACUCGGGAGGCUGAGGCAGGAGAAUGGCGUGAACCCGGGAGGCGGAGCUUGCAGUGAGCCGAGAUCGCGCCACUGCACUUCAGCCCGUGUGACAGAGCGAGACUCCGUCUCAGAGAAAAAAAAAAAAAAAAAAAAGAGUUAAGGGGAGAAGGUGACGAGGUAGACAAGAUCCUUGGCUGAGACCUUCAGUGAAGGGAUGCAGCCAAUCCUCAGAGACCCUGGCAGGCAGGAGCAGGGGGAAUAAGUACGCUGACUCCAUCUCCCCUUCCCCUGAUUUCCUUCUGGGCCUCCAGUUGGCAGAACCAAAUCGGAAGGCGGAGGGCAAGACAGUCCAUUGAAGUCCACAUGGGGAGAAGGGUGGAGAGGCAAUGUGGGGGUUGCGGGGAGCACCAAAAGAAGAUGCCCGACAGAGAUGGCUAGCACCCCCGCCCCCACCGCACAACACACUCACGACACACUCACGACACACUCACGACACACUCACGACACACUCACAACACAGGACCAGAGAGCAGAUCUCUACUUUCUAAGGAUCUUUUCAGGUCUGACCUGCAGAUUCUUCCAUUUUAAAUCAAGGCUAAAAUAUAUUGAGGCUUACUGAGGUCUAGUGGCAGCUCGGAGUUAUCAGUGGGUUGGGUAGUGCUUGCUGCUCUGGAACUAAUGGCACAAUUUUAUUGCAUUUAGGUCAAAUUGUGCCUCAAUUCCAAUGUCGUAUUUUUGGGUCAUGGGUCUCCUCUCUCUUUCUUUUCUAAAUGUGCCCGAGUAUUCCUCCUGGUCCUUUGGGAUGCUGACAGAGGAGCAGAUAUGCAGCAUCUCUGCCAUGAUAUAAGGGCUGCUGCAGUGCACAACUGUCUCCCAAGAAGGUACCGCAGGGGUGUAAAACUUCUCCCUGCAUUGUCAACGCUGGUCUCCAUGGAUGUCUGCUGGCUUUUUCAAAAAUUCUUGUAGAACAGUGCUUCUCAUAUGGUGAUUUUGUCCCCCUUGCCCCAGGGGGACCUUUGGCCAUGUCUUGAGAUGUUUUUGGUUGCCGUGAUUGAGGAGGUGCUACCAGCGUCUGCUGGGCAGAGACCAGGGAUGCUGCUCCACAUCCCACAAUGCACAGGACAAUCUUCUCUACAGCAAUGAAUUAUCCAGUUCACAAUCUCAAUAGCACCAAUAUUGAGAAACCCUGUUGAAGAUGGAGACUAUCCACGGGGCAUUGAUCUUGGGGUCUCCCCCUUCCUGAAUACUUGAAGUCCCUCGGCAGACUCUUGGAUACCUCCAGCAAUGGGGAGCUCACCACCUGUUUUGAAGCCAGGCAGGUUUGGGCUCUUCUUGUAGCUGUGUGACUCUGGAUUUUCCCAUAGGUGGGAGUGGAUCCACCACCUUGAGCUUCAGUUUCCUCCAGUGCCAUGGGAUUAGCAGCAGCCCUGCCUCACAGAUUGCGUGAGGAUGAAAUGAGAUGAUGCUCCUGAGUUGGCUGGUGCAGUGCACGGUACACAGAGAGUGCUCAAUAAAUGUUCCCUGCUGUGAAUG
RNAcentral lists this long non-coding RNA (4405 nucleotides) under Homo sapiens (human). RNAcentral's name for it is "HSALNT0405367". The record is from RNAcentral. Lineage: Eukaryota; Metazoa; Chordata; Mammalia; Primates; Hominidae.